RNA transcript from Drosophila eugracilis, 1091 nucleotides. It is a transcript of the gene named prisilkin-39, with no coding region annotated. Lineage: Eukaryota; Metazoa; Arthropoda; Insecta; Diptera; Drosophilidae. The record is from RefSeq and is a predicted model, not a curated record. The transcript has 4 exons.
UUUAACGUCCAACAACCGGGCCAAGCAGUUGUCUUGGUUUCCAAAAAGCUCUCUUGCCGGGAAGUUUCUAUAUUUUGAUUGUUUUAAAAAUAGUUAAAAAAAAAAAAUAAGAAAAACCAGAGCCAUGUUCAUCGUCAAGCUAUUUACUCUAAUGUUGGCUGUGACUGGAGCCUGGAGUGCCGCCCUCCCGGAAAAUCAGGUGGCAACUGCCAGGACGACGGCAACAGGUGACUUGGCCACCGCGGAGACUUCAGCUAAAUUGCUAAAUCUCUUUGGAACCGGCUCUGGAUAUCCCAACUAUGGCUAUAGCUACAAUCGUCCGACCAACGGAUACUAUCCCGGCUAUAAUACGAACUACUAUGGCUCAUCUAGUUACUAUCCAGGCUCGGGAUAUGGCUCUAGCACUUACUACCCAAGCCAGGGAAACUACGGAUCUGCGAACUACUACCCUACCCAGGGCUAUAACUAUUAUUCCACCAGCAGUUAUCCCACCACGAACAUUUUGGGAACCCAAGGAGGAGGCUAAGGUGGAUAUGGAGGUUACGGAGGUAAUGGAGGUUUGAAGCAGUAUUCGGGAUAUUGGCAGCGGGACUAUCAGGGUCAAAGGAAUAGGGGCUAUGGCUAUUACGAUGAUACAGAUCGUUAUGGGCUGCCCUUUUCCAGAGAUCGUGGAUAUGGCUCGAGUUCCUAUCGUGGCUAUAACUAAGAUUCUGCUUUUGUGUGUUGUUAUUGCAUUUUUGUUACCGCUUUUACCCCUUGCCACCCUGACUAAUAAUAAUAAACUAAAAACAAAAGUUACAUUUCCAUGAGGCAUUCAAAUUACCUGCGGACACGCCCAAUUGCACACUCAAAAUUGCCCAUUUGUCAUUCGUUCAUAUUCAUGCUCUCAGUGCUGGUAGAAAAAUGUGUGUUAUUGUCUCGUCCGAAGCCUAAAAUUAAAUGCAUUUUUGCAGCUUCAACCUGAAAGUAGACUACAUAUAUUUUUUGUUUUGUUUGGCUGCCUCGCGUUGCCAACUUUUUCAUAUUUCUUUUUUUACCAAAAACGCUCUCUUCAUUUUCAGGCUAUUUGCGCACCACUUUUGGCUAAAACC